GACGAACGCUGGCGGCGUGCUUAACACAUGCAAGUCGAACGGUAAGGCCCUUCGGGGUACACGAGUGGCGAACGGGUGAGUAACACGUGGGUGAUCUGCCCUGCACUUCGGGAUAAGCCUGGGAAACUGGGUCUAAUACCGGAUAGGACCCUGGGAUGCAUGUCCUGGGGUGGAAAGCUUUUGCGGUGUGGGAUGGGCCCGCGGCCUAUCAGCUUGUUGGUGGGGUGAUGGCCUACCAAGGCGACGACGGGUAGCCGGCCUGAGAGGGUGACCGGCCACACUGUGACUGAGAUACGGACCAGACUCCUACGGGAGGCAGCAGUGGGGAAUAUUGCACAAUGGGCGCAAGCCUGAUGCAGCGACGCCGCGUGAGGUAUGACGGCCUUCGGGUUGUAAACCUCUUUCAGCACCGACGAAGCGCAAGUGACGGUAGGUGCAGAAGAAGGACCGGCCAACUACGUGCCAGCCGCCGCGGUAA
RNAcentral lists this ribosomal RNA (478 nucleotides) under uncultured bacterium. RNAcentral's name for it is "partial 16S ribosomal RNA". It matches the Rfam family "Bacterial small subunit ribosomal RNA", at positions 28 to 523 of the family's 1533-position model. The record is from RNAcentral.